GGGAUUUACCGUGUAGUGCAAGCUGACUUUGAAGUUGUGAUUUUCCUGCCUUAGCCUUCCAAAUUCUGGGAUUACAGGACUUGUGGAGAAAUGACAGUCCCUUGCUGCUGCAUUUAAUUGGAGAGGAGCACAGAGACCUGAGAUUGUAAUUAUGACGACAUAAAUGUCAAGCUCUUCAAAAGCCUGCAUGCCCUCACUGUCACCCUGCACAGCUCUGGGAACCAAAACCCUGCAGCCCCCUCCCCUCGCUCCCUGAGCAUGCCCUGGGUCUCUCAGCCAGGUUCCACCUGGGAAAUCUGAGUGACAGUGACGUGCAGGCAGCUGGAAGACACACCGUACACCGAGGAGCCUGUGAUGAGCUCAGAAGAGAUCCUGGCUCCCAGGCCGAAGUCCUUUGGAGGCCUCGCUCAAGUCACCCUAAGCGGGACUGCACUAGAGCUCUCUGUUUUCUGCAACCAAGGCUGCAGGAAGGACAAGGAGCCACACACUGUCUCUGCUCACCAGCCAGGUGGUCCACGCGUGCUGGCCCUGCACACGCCCACCAGCCCUGUGGCUCUGGGUGGACUGCUCUCUGAGACUCUGAGUUCCCUUUUCUUUCUUUUCUUUUCAAGACAGGAUCUUGCUAUGUAUUUCAGGGGCUGGCCCUAAACUCACUGGGUAGCCAAGGCUGCCCUCAAUCUCACAGAGAUCCUCCUGCCUCAGCCUCUCAUGGGCUGAGAUUCUAGAUGUACUCCAACAUGCCCAGGAGGGACUUAGUUUUCUUACCAGUCAAUUGGGGAUAAUAGAAGUUACCU
Octodon degus (degu) is the source of this 794-nucleotide long non-coding RNA. RefSeq lists it as uncharacterized. The transcript is spliced from 3 exons. The record is from RefSeq and is a predicted model, not a curated record. NCBI's taxonomy places the organism in Eukaryota, Metazoa, Chordata, Mammalia, Rodentia, Octodontidae.